CUGUUUCCAGGUCAAAGCAACCAUGACCAGUGUUGUAUGUGAACACACUCAAAUGGACAUUUCCAUCGAACGCCCUCAUGUCCUGGUGGAUGGUGAACUCAGUGGAAGUACUCUGUGGUUCUGUCAUUCCUUGACCUCUUGGUAAACCUGAGGUAGAUGACGAGUAACAAAGGGGAGGGGGGCAAGGAAGACAAGACCACAUCUGUCCAGCAUCAGUGGAUGGAAGAGGACAAAAAGAAAAACUGAGGGGGAGGGAUGGUGAGAUAGAAGACUUGCUCCUUGAGCCACUGAAAGCCCCUGCCCCACCUCUGUCAGAGGGAGAAAUGUUCCUGGGAGCCUGCUUGCUUCCCUGCACAGAUUGUUGCAGCAAAGGAAGGAGUAUGUCAAAUUUCACAUUCACAAUUAACAUUGAGACCAGUACUGCUGAGUUGAAUCAGGAACCAAUUGAAUUACAAUCUGAUCAUAAUAAAAACAUUUUCUAAAUCUUG
Notolabrus celidotus (New Zealand spotty) is the source of this 488-nucleotide long non-coding RNA. RefSeq lists it as uncharacterized. NCBI's taxonomy places the organism in Eukaryota, Metazoa, Chordata, Actinopteri, Labriformes, Labridae. The record is from RefSeq and is a predicted model, not a curated record. The transcript has 2 exons.